AACUUGUAACAAUGUGUCUCGUGGCUCUCGCGUCGAUGAAGAACGCAGCGAAAUGCGAUAAGUAAUGUGAAUUGCAGAAUUCAGUGAAUCAUCGAAUCUUUGAACGCACCUUGCACCCUUUGGCAUUCCGAAGGAUAUGCUCGUUUGAGUGUCAUUGUACUCUCACACUCCCAAUCCCUUUGGAUUGUGAGCGGUGGACUUGGGUGUUGCCGCUUGACUGAGGCUCACCUGAAAUAUGUUAGUGCAUCUCUUGAUUGGACAUAGUACGGCGUGAUAAGUGUCUUCGCCGGCUCCUCGCAAAGAGGGUGGCCGAUCGGGAGCUCUGUUGCUUCAAACUGUCUUCGGACAAUCUUCUGACAACUUGACCUCAAAUCGAGUAGGACUACCCGCUGAACUUAAGCAUAUCAAUAAGCGGAGGCU
RNAcentral lists this unclassified non-coding RNA (420 nucleotides) under uncultured Sebacinaceae. Its description in RNAcentral is "sequence contains ITS2". The stretch from base 1 to 154 matches the Rfam family "5.8S ribosomal RNA". The record is from RNAcentral. Lineage: Eukaryota; Fungi; Basidiomycota; Agaricomycetes; Sebacinales; Sebacinaceae.